GACAAGAAAUAACAACUACUAGGAUUUCUUAGAAGUGUAAUGAGGAUAAUUUACAAACCUUACCGAAUGCAAUUGGAGGGCAAGUCUGGUGCCAGCAGCCGCGGUAAUUCCAGCUCCAAUAGCGUAUAUUAAAGUUGUUGCAGUUAAAAGCUCGUAGUUGAAGUUCUGAUUGCUCAGGUUUCCAGCCUUAGGCGGAGAUACUGACAGUCAUCCGCUUGCAAACAUAUGUUCGAUCUUCACCGGUUGGCUAUGUGAGUAAGCACUUUACCUUGAGAAAAACAGAGUGUUCCAGGCAGGUUUUGUCCGGGAUGCAUUAGCAUGGAAUAAUAGAACAUGACUGAAGUCGAUUUAUUGGUUUAAGGCUUUAGUAAUGAUUAAUAGGAACAGUCGGGGGCAUUCGUACUCAGCAGUCAGAGGUGAAAUUCUAAGAUUUGCUGAAGACGAACUAAUGCGAAAGCAUUUGCCAAGGAUGUUUUCAUUAAUCAAGAACGAAAGUUAGGGGAUC
This 505-nucleotide ribosomal RNA is filed under the name uncultured eukaryote. RNAcentral describes it as "SSU rRNA". It matches the Rfam family "Eukaryotic small subunit ribosomal RNA", at positions 469 to 999 of the family's 1831-position model. The record is from RNAcentral.